RNAcentral lists this ribosomal RNA (533 nucleotides) under uncultured bacterium. RNAcentral describes it as "bacterial SSU rRNA". It matches the Rfam family "Bacterial small subunit ribosomal RNA", at positions 774 to 1319 of the family's 1533-position model. The record is from RNAcentral.
AGAUAAUAGAUACCCUGGUAGUCCACGCCGUAAACGAUGGAUGCUAGCUGUUAUCAGUAUCGACCCUGGUAGUAGCGAAGCUAACGCGUUAAGCAUCCCGCCUGGGGAGUACGGUCGCAAGAUUAAAACUCAAAGGAAUUGACGGGGACCCGCACAAGCGGUGGAGCGUGUUGUUUAAUUCGACGCUAAGCGAAGAACCUUACCAAGGUUUGACAUCUCGGGAAAGUCUCCGAAAGGAGACCGUGCCUUCGGGAACCCGAUGACAGGUGUUGCAUGGCCGUCGUCAGCUCGUGUCGUGAGAUGUUUGGUUAAGUCCAUCAACGAGCGCAACCCUUGUAGUCUGUUGUAUUUCUCAGGCUAGACUGCCCCGGUAACGGGGAGGAAGGAGGGGAUGAUGUCAGGUCAGUAUUACCCUUACACCUUGGGCCACAAACACGCUACAAUGGCCGAUACAAAGGGCUGCCAAGCAGCAAUGCGGAGCAAAUCCCAUCAAAGUCGGUCUCAGUUCGGAUUGUUGGCUGAAACUCGCCAGC